Long non-coding RNA from Lolium rigidum, 544 nucleotides. RefSeq lists it as uncharacterized. Lineage: Eukaryota; Viridiplantae; Streptophyta; Magnoliopsida; Poales; Poaceae. The transcript has 3 exons. The record is from RefSeq and is a predicted model, not a curated record.
AACCCGGAAUGGGAGAAAUGAAGCAUCUCUGUGGUUAAAAGUGACAGUUUGACAGCCAGCCUAGAGUAGUCUGGGCUCUACACAUUGUUCAACCUCAUCAACUUUGACGGAAAAAAGUUUACUGAUGAACCCACUCCGGAGGCUAUCAACCAGUUCAGAGAACAUGCUAUAUGAAAUGAUGUCCAUCAAGGAGAACAAAGGGAAGGUACCAUCAAUCUUCGUCCACACUAUUGAGGACUAGACACCAAAGACAUUACCCGGCAUACUAAGAUGAUCCUUACUGUGCUGGGGUGGGCUGGAGUUGUUUUGUGUUGUUAGGACUAUCGUGCUGACCUGAAACUGUACGAUGUGUGCUUUGUAAUGUGAGAACCUGUCUCCCGGCCGAAUGAUCUUUUGAACCUACUGCUCCAAUUAUGUUUUAAGCCAAAUUCGGAUCAAGUUGAAUCCGCCAAGCCAUGUGAUGUUUUUAUUAUUUUGAAUGUCUUCAAGGGGAAUCACAUUUUUGUUAUUACAAGAAUGGGCUGAAUACUCAGCGUUUGGAUUA